This 447-nucleotide ribosomal RNA is filed under the name uncultured bacterium. RNAcentral's name for it is "bacterial SSU rRNA". It matches the Rfam family "Bacterial small subunit ribosomal RNA", at positions 58 to 496 of the family's 1533-position model. The record is from RNAcentral.
CAAGUCGAACGGCAGCAUAGAGAGCUUGCUCUCUGAUGGCGAGUGGCGAACGGGUGAGUAAUAUAUCGGAACGUGCCUAGUAAUGGGGAAUAACUAGCUGAAAGGUUAGCUAAUGCCGCAUACGACCUACGGGUGAAAGCAGGGGAUCUUCGGACCUUGCGUUAUUAGAGCGGCCGAUAUCUGAUUAGCUUGUUGGUGGGGUAAUGGCCUACCAAGGCGACGAUCAGUAGCUGGUCUGAGAGGACGAUCGGCCACACUGGAACUGAGACACGGUCCAGACUCCUACGGGAGGCAGCAGUGGGGAAUUUUGGACAAUGGGGGCAACCCUGAUCCAGCCAUUCCGCGUGAGUGAAGAAGGCCUUCGGGUUGUAAAGCUCUUUCGCAAGAGAAGAAAACUUGCUAUCUAAUAAAUAGUAAGCAUGACGGUAUCUUGACAAGAAGCACCGG